Molecule: transfer RNA, 68 nt
Filed under: Cavia porcellus (domestic guinea pig)
Lineage: Eukaryota; Metazoa; Chordata; Mammalia; Rodentia; Caviidae
Rfam family: tRNA
About the family: Transfer RNA (tRNA) molecules are approximately 80 nucleotides in length. Their secondary structure includes four short double-helical elements and three loops (D, anti-codon, and T loops).
Source: Rfam by way of RNAcentral
GUUGUGGCUCAAUGGUAGGGUGCUUGCCUGGCAUGCAGGAAGUUAUGAGUUCAAUUCUUAGUGCAAUA